AUCCUGCUCACGCGAGACUUGAGCAAGGCAGGGGGGCGGGAAGGGAGUCGGAGACACAACAAAGAUGGCGGCGGCGACUGUGACGGUGACGAAGACGGCGGCGGCGGCGACGGCAUUUAACAAGGCGGUGUGGUUUACUCCAUGCAGUUGUCAGGAGACCUCUGUAUGGCUUUUCAAUUUUAGUUGAAAUUCUCUCUCCAUGGCCUUUUGGAGUCCCUUGCUGUAUCUCCGAAGUAAAUUUCAAUUACUCUACAUUUCAUCAAUGUUGGAGUGGCAAGAAAAAGGAGGAACAGAUUUGGGGUGAAAAGUUUUGUUUUCUAGGUCUAACAAACUGUAAAUGUUAAAAAAGCAAAGAUGGGUGAAAAAAAACCAGAGCCUUUGGACUUCGUGAAAGAUUUUCAGGAAUACCUGACUCAGCAGACCCAUCACGUGAACAUGAUUUCUGGAUCAGUUAGUGGGGACAAAGAAGCAGAGGCUCUUCAGCUGGAACAGAUGGUGAUCAAAAUGGACUUGAUCACCCAUCUGUUGAAGUUUCCUUGGAUGAAAACUCAGGAAUGUUAGUAGACGGGUUUGAAAGGACCUUUGAUGGGAAGCUUAAGUGUCGGUACUGCAACUAUGCCAGCAAAGGAACAGCCCGGCUUAUUGAACACAUCAGAAUCCACACAGGUGAAAAACCUCAUCGAUGUCAUCUUUGUCCAUUUGCAUCUGCUUAUGAGCGUCAUCUGGAAGCCCAUAUGCGUUCUCAUACUGGAGAAAAACCAUACAAAUGUGAAUUAUGUUCCUUCCGCUGCAGUGAUCGAAGUAACUUGUCCCAUCAUCGAAGGCGCAAGCAUAAAAUGGUACCAAUUAAAGGUACUAGGUCUUCCUUAAGCAGCAAGAAAAUGUGGGGGGUUUUACAGAAGAAAACAAGCAAUCUGGGCUAUAGCAGAAGAGCACUAAUCAACUUAAGUCCACCUUCCAUGGUGGUUCAGAAACCAGACUACCUUAACGAUUUUACCCACGAAAUCCCAAAUAUCCAGACUGACUCCUAUGAAAGUAUGGCAAAAACCACACCAACUGGUGGCCUUCCAAGGGACCCCCAAGAACUCAUGGUUGAUAACCCUUUGAAUCAGCUCUCGACUCUAGCAGGGCAGUUGUCCAGUCUGCCACCCGAAAACCAAAACCCUGCAUCCCCUGAUGUAGUUCCCUGCCCUGAUGAAAAGCCUUUCAUGAUUCAGCAGCCCUCUACCCAAGCAGUAGUUUCUGCCGUAUCAGCAAGUAUUCCUCAGAGCUCCUCUCCCACAAGCCCAGAACCUCGGCCAUCCCAUAGUCAAAGGAACUAUAGUCCAGUGGCAGGUCCAAGCAGUGAGCCAAGUGCCCACACGAGCACUCCCAGCAUAGGAAACAGCCAGCCAAGCACCCCAGCCCCAGCCCUGCCGGUCCAGGACCCUCAGCUUCUGCACCACUGCCAGCACUGUGAUAUGUACUUUGCAGACAACAUCCUUUACACUAUUCAUAUGGGAUGUCAUGGGUAUGAAAAUCCUUUUCAGUGUAAUAUAUGUGGAUGCAAAUGUAAAAACAAGUAUGAUUUUGCCUGUCAUUUUGCAAGAGGGCAACAUAACCAACAUUGAUUGAAAAUAGUCAUAUUUUACUUAGUUUUGCUGUUUUUGUGGUUUGGUUUUUUUUGUUUUUUGUUUUGGUCAUCCCUAAUAAAGUGUCUGCUAAUUCAAGGCUUAUACAUUAUAUUUAUAGAAUAUAAAUUUGUCAGUGGAAUAAAAUUUCCCCUUUUUUUCAUAAAAAUCUGGUCAGGGUCAUUUAUAUAUUAGAACAGUUAGACACAUUGGUGUCUCUUUUUUCCUUUCCUUUCGACAUUGGAGAAUUGGAGUGCAGUCAUAAUCUUACAAGAUGUUCAUUUGAAUUUCUCACAUUUAUGGUCCAUAAAAACUUCAAGGCUUAUCCAUACUUUUGAUGUUUCAAUAUGCAUUGAACUGGAUGUUAUUUCUGCCAUAUUUCAAAAUGGUAGAAUAAAUUACAGAAUUUAUUACUACUCAUUUCAGUGUUUAGUACAGAAAUUGCCUUAAAAAUUGCUAUUAAUUGAAAUAUCAUUUAGUUCACAUUCCUUAAGUUGAAUCGGUAGUUUCAUUUCAACUGAUAAUAGUAAAGCUAUUUCAGUUUAGUAAAAAUUUUCUUUUUUCCACAAGAGGAAAUGUAAAACAGUUAAGACUUGAAAUUGAAAAUUCUUUUAAUAUUUAAAAUAACUUGUUUAUUCAAUGUCUAAACACAUGUCAGUUUUCCACUGGAUUUUUAUUUUCACAGGUAAAUACACUAGAGUGCUAGAUGCCUUUUUCCCCUGUCAGUUUGACUUUCAUUUAAAUCCUUCAUUCUGAUAUCAUUACUGUUAGGUGAGGUGGAUAACUAUAAUGAGAAUCUCUUAUUCUUCCUAUUCCUUUGAUGACCAAAGAGAUAAAGUGAAGUCAUCCUUAUUAUUAAAAUGCAGCCUCCAAACAAAUUUCUCAAGAUUCCUUUUCCUUCCUUCUAUCCAUUUUCUGCCCAUAAUUUCCAAGAAAAGGUGGGUAUGGAAACACAUGAGAGAAUGUGAUAGUGAAGUCAUAUUUACAAAACUGAGAACAUGUCCAAAAUGGAUUCUUGUCUCCUCUUCAGAAUUAGCCAUUUAAAAUAUUUUCUGUGACUUCAAAUUGUAAUUCUUAUUUGCAGUUUUACCAGUCUUCAUGUACAGUGACGAAACUGUGUAGAAACUAAAUCAUCGCUUUAGUAAGAAAGGAUAAAAAGGUGUGGAAGUGAAUAUAAAAUGCAUCUAAACAUGACAUUUAAUUUGUUUAUAAAAAUAAGACUUACUAAAUAUAGAGUAAUUCAUUUUGAAUAGGAGGCUAUUGUUUUUAUAUUGUGUAAUAACUCACGUACUCUGAAGAGAGCUUGGUCAAACAAUAAAAUACAUUGUUACUAACUUGGUUUCUUUUCUGUGUACUUUGCAAAAAUUCUAUUUUUAAUUUUGUUCAUAUGUUGAAUGUGCCCCUAAUUGGCAUCUUAAAGAGAAUAGUAAGCAUCUAUUAACCAAAAAAGAACUCUAAUAGUAAAGGAAAGGGAAAUAUUGGUGGUAUGUACCCACAAAACCCCCAAGUGCCAAGUUAAUGGAAUCUCUGCUUUCCCUUUCAGAUGCUAGAAAGCCACUGUAAUGAGUUCUUGCAGUUUAGCAUCCAGUCUAAGCUACUGCAUUGUUUAAAGAGCAGCAUCAAGGACACUUUCUCCAAACUGGAACUCUCUUCUUUGUCAAAUCUUGUACUUUAAAAUUCUACAAUUCUGUUACAUUGUUGUUUAAAUCACAGACUGCUCAGAUCCAUUUUACUGCAGUAGUUUCCAAGUGUGUAACUUGGCUUUAGUAUUUAUCAGUUGCCAGAAAGAAACAGGUUGUCAUUUGGAAGUUUUUGUGGUUAUUUUUUCCCAUUUUUAUUCUUCAGAUAAAAGCAGUACCCCAAAAUAGAAAAUGAAAAUUUUCAUGAAACAAAGAGAACUCCCUUGUUAAAACCAGCUUAUUAACUCUGUAUUCUGUCAAAUGCAUUUUUUUCUAACAACUGACCAUGGAUGUUGUGAAGGUGCAUUUUAAUUUAAACAUGGAAAAGAUUUUUUUCAUAAUUACAUACUAGAAUGUAAAAUUAUAAUUUUGCCAUGACUUAAAGAGCACAGUUGAUAUCCCAAAGGUUUUGAUGCUAAGAAGCUACAGUUAUUCUAAAUGCACUAAAAUGUUUGAGGCAAAUCUACCUUAGAGGCUUUUUUGGUAUGGUAUUUUUUAAAAUAUUUAGAUUUUAUUUAAAUUUCCUGUGAGUUAUUCUGUAUUUGAAAAGAUGUUCGUGUCUUCCCCUCUGUAUUGAAUGUUUCACUCAUUUUAUUUUUAAUCAAAUAUUUUAUAGAAAUGAGUUGUUGGGAAGAGUUUAACAUGCACUAUUUAUAGUACUUUGCCGUUAACAGGCAAUGUUCUGAAACUAAAUUUAUUUUUGUUCAGUGAACAUAAGUUUAGAUUUUUAAAGUUGGUAGAUAAUUUAUCUCCACUAAUAUUUUUUUAAGAAACUGUGAAGAGAUUAACUGGGAAUAAUUUUAUUUCAGAUUUUACUAAUGUAGUAUGUAGCUACAACUUCUUGAACUUCAAGUUAAGGCUAGACAUUUACUUUGAAAAAAUUCCACUGGGUGUUUCCAGGGCUAUUUCAUUUUAGAAAUAAGUGUUUGCCAUUCUUCUGCAAAAACUGGACAAGGGGAAUACUACAAAAAAUACUCAGAGAUAAAAUCCUCAUUUCAAGUUCUACAAAAUAUUUAUCAAAUGAAUGUUAAUUUUUUUUUAAUUCCCUGCUAAAGACGUUUUCAUUAGUCUUAGAGGGUAUAUGCUUUCUAGAACUUGUUUUUGUUAACAUGUGCUUUGAUGUAAAGAACAUAUUUUGUAUGCAAAACAUAACUUGCAUUAUGGUUGUACAAUACACUAUAUUGUUUAGGGAUUCCGGAAAGCAGUUUAAUGCAGAAAUAACUAUAUCUAGUAUGCAGUUCAUAUUGUGAAUGAAGCUUUGCUUUUGUAAUAAAUAAAUAAGACUUUCUAAUGAC
RNAcentral lists this long non-coding RNA (4584 nucleotides) under Homo sapiens (human). RNAcentral's name for it is "non-protein coding lnc-IKZF5-1:5". Lineage: Eukaryota; Metazoa; Chordata; Mammalia; Primates; Hominidae. The record is from RNAcentral.